AUUGAACGCUGGCGGCAGGCCUAACAUAUGCAAGUCGAGCGGCAGCGGGAAAGUAGCUUGCUACUUUUGCCGGCGAGCGGCGGACGGGUGAGUAAUGCCUGGGAAAUUGCCCAGUCGAGGGGGAUAACAGUUGGAAACGACUGCUAAUACCGCAUACGCCCUACGGGGGAAAGCAGGGGACCUUCGGGCCUUGCGCGAGUGGAUAUGCCCAGGUGGGAUUAGCUAGUUGGUGAGGUAAUGGCUCACCAAGGCGACGAUCCCUAGCUGGUCUGAGAGGAUGAUCAGCCACACUGGAACUGAGACACGGUCCAGACUCCUACGGGAGGCAGCAGUGGGGAAUAUUGCACAAUGGGGGAAACCCUGAUGCAGCCAUGCCGCGUGUGUGAAGAAGGCCUUCGGGUUGUAAAGCACUUUCAGCGAGGAGGAAAGGUUGAUGCCUAAUACGUAUCAACUGUGACGUUACUCGCAGAAGAAGCACUGGCUAACUCCGUGCCAGCCGCCGCGGUAA
RNAcentral lists this ribosomal RNA (508 nucleotides) under uncultured bacterium. Its description in RNAcentral is "partial 16S ribosomal RNA". It matches the Rfam family "Bacterial small subunit ribosomal RNA", at positions 30 to 523 of the family's 1533-position model. The record is from RNAcentral.